This 565-nucleotide ribosomal RNA is filed under the name uncultured bacterium. RNAcentral describes it as "bacterial SSU rRNA". It matches the Rfam family "Bacterial small subunit ribosomal RNA", at positions 338 to 916 of the family's 1533-position model. The record is from RNAcentral.
CCUACGGGUGGCAGCAGCAGGGAAUAUUGUGCAAUGAGCGAAAGCUUGACACAGCGACACCGCGUGUGGGAUGACGGUUCUAGGAUUGUAAACCACUUUCAGGAGGGAAGAAAAUGACGGUACCUCCACAAGAAGACCCGGCCAACUAUGUGCCAGCAGCCGCGGUAAUACAUAGGGGUCAAGCGUUGUCCGGAUUUAUUGGGCGUAAAGAGCUCGUAGGCGGUUCAACAAGUCGGUCGUAAAAGUUUAGGGCUCAACCCUAAAAUGUCGAUCGAUACUGUUGUGACUAGGAUACGGUAGAGGUGAAUGGAAUUCCGAGUGUAGCGGUGAAAUGCGUAGAUAUUCGGAGGAACACCAAUUGCGAAGGCAGUUCACUGGACCGUGAUCGACGCUGAGGAGCGAAAGCUAGGGGAGCAAACAGGAUUAGAUACCCUGGUAGUCCUAGCUGUAAACGAUGGAUACUAGAUGUAGGAACUGGAUUGACGGUUUCUGUAUCGUAGCUAACGCGUUAAGUAUCCCGCCUGGGGAGUACGGUCGCAAGACUAAAACUCAAAGGAAUUGACGG